This 20-nucleotide microRNA is filed under the name Schistosoma japonicum. Its description in RNAcentral is "miRNA-3010". The record is from RNAcentral. Lineage: Eukaryota; Metazoa; Platyhelminthes; Trematoda; Strigeidida; Schistosomatidae.
ACACGAACGGGAUAGCUGCU